This 121-nucleotide non-coding RNA is filed under the name Geoalkalibacter subterraneus. Its description in RNAcentral is "MoCo sequence". It matches the Rfam family "Molybdenum/Tungsten riboswitch aptamer (Moco RNA motif)". The record is from Rfam by way of RNAcentral. Lineage: Bacteria; Pseudomonadati; Thermodesulfobacteriota; Desulfuromonadia; Desulfuromonadales; Geoalkalibacteraceae.
AUAAAAUAGAAUCUCCGAGCCGUUGCGCCUGAGGGGAUGCCUCCCCAUGGCAUGCGGCCAAUGGGUACAGUUGGAAACGGCUGUGCCUCCCGGUAUGGAAAGGAGACCUCAAGGCUCGGUC